GGUUAUAGCUCAGUUGGUAGAGCUAGCCUCGCAUGUACGAGGUUCUGGGUUCAAUCCCCAGCACCA
This 66-nucleotide transfer RNA is filed under the name Marmota monax (woodchuck). Its description in RNAcentral is "tRNA.Ala". The record is from RNAcentral. Lineage: Eukaryota; Metazoa; Chordata; Mammalia; Rodentia; Sciuridae.